RNAcentral lists this unclassified non-coding RNA (261 nucleotides) under uncultured fungus. Its description in RNAcentral is "sequence contains ITS2". The stretch from base 1 to 52 matches the Rfam family "5.8S ribosomal RNA", at positions 103 to 154 of the family's 154-position model. Lineage: Eukaryota; Fungi. The record is from RNAcentral.
AACGCACAUUGCGCCCGCCAGUAUUCUGGCGGGCAUGCCUGUCCGAGCGUCAUUUCAACCCUCAGGUCUCCCUCGCGGAGAGCUGGUGUUGGGGACCGGCCCCCCUCAGCGGUGGCCGCCCCCGAAAUACAGUGGCGGUCUCGCCGCAGCCUCCCCUGCGUAGUAGCACACCUCGCACCGGAGAGCGGCAAGGCCACGCCGUGAAACCCCCCACUAUCAAAGGUUGACCUCGGAUCAGGUAGGAAUACCCGCUGAACUUAA